Telopea speciosissima is the source of this 401-nucleotide long non-coding RNA. RefSeq lists it as uncharacterized. Lineage: Eukaryota; Viridiplantae; Streptophyta; Magnoliopsida; Proteales; Proteaceae. The transcript has 3 exons. The record is from RefSeq and is a predicted model, not a curated record.
AUGAUUUUUACCUGUCGCUGAUAAAGGAGACAAGUAGGAAGAAAUUAGAUACAGAUAGGAUUCUAUAAGAUGCAAGAAAUUGGGGUACUCAGAAUGUUAGUUGUUGGAGAUUUUCCUUGUGGAGUGCCUGAUAAUACUCCUUGAUAAAGGAGGAUGCAUGUCUAUUCAUAUGUGAAUAAAACUUAAUUAGAUCCAUGGGUGGGGCAAUUAAUCUUUUUUUGUGGCUCAUCUACACCACCAGCUUGCUGAUAUGGGGAUCUGACAGGUGGGUGAAAAUGGGUUGUGGUACUGAUGGUGGCAGCAGCAAAGGAUAAUGAACGACAGGGCUCCAGAAAGUAUUUUUUUAUUGACUUGUACAAGAAUUGAACACCCCCCCCCCCGCGUGGGACUCUUGGAUCCCC